This 245-nucleotide ribosomal RNA is filed under the name uncultured bacterium. RNAcentral's name for it is "partial 16S ribosomal RNA". It matches the Rfam family "Bacterial small subunit ribosomal RNA", at positions 524 to 768 of the family's 1533-position model. The record is from RNAcentral.
UACGGGGGGUGCAAGCGUUGUUCGGAUUUAUUGGGCGUAAAGCGCGUGUAGGCGGUUUUUUAAGUCUGAUGUGAAAGCCCCGGGCUCAACCUGGGAAGUGCAUUGGAUACUGGAAGACUUGAAUACGGGAGAGGGAAGUGGAAUUCCUAGUGUAGGAGUGAAAUCCGUAGAUAUUAGGAGGAACACCGGUGGCGAAGGCGGCUUCCUGGACCGAUAUUGACGCUGAGACGCGAAAGCGUGGGUAG